Molecule: transfer RNA, 67 nt
Filed under: Microcebus jollyae (Jolly's mouse lemur)
Lineage: Eukaryota; Metazoa; Chordata; Mammalia; Primates; Cheirogaleidae
Description: tRNA-Pro
Rfam family: tRNA
About the family: Transfer RNA (tRNA) molecules are approximately 80 nucleotides in length.
Source: RNAcentral
CAGGGAAUAGUUUAAUUAGAAUUUCAGCUUUGGGUGCUGAAGGCGAAGCUUGAAGUUUCUUCCCUGA